RNAcentral lists this long non-coding RNA (548 nucleotides) under Cyanoderma ruficeps (rufous-capped babbler). Its description in RNAcentral is "lncRNA (ENSCRFG00000008237.1)". The record is from RNAcentral. Lineage: Eukaryota; Metazoa; Chordata; Aves; Passeriformes; Timaliidae.
CAGAUCCUGAUCCACCAUCAGAUAUACAAAUAUUUGGACAAGAAGAAAGUACAGUCUACUUUUCUUGGAAAGUACCGAGAGGAGGAUUUGAUAUGUUUCAGCUUUCAUAUUGUCUGAUGAAUAAUGAAAAGCUGCUUACCAGAACUAUUUAUGACAGCAGAGCUGUAGUGAAAAAUCUGACCCCUGGGACAGAAUACAUUUUUCAGUUAAGGACAAUUAAGGGCUUGGAUUCCUCUGUGGCUGUGGAGAAAAAAGUCAUCACAAAACCUGCUGGGAUAUGUGGUCUGACAUUAAAAAUGGUGAAUACUUCCUCUGCAACUGUAAUGUGGAAUCCAACCAAGACUGACUUCACGUCUUAUAAAGCAUCUUUAUCAAACAACACCUUCAUUAAAAAGUUCAGAAUUCCAGGAACAAUGACUGACUUCAGUGUUACAGACCUGGCUGCUGGGGGCAUUUAUAAUUUCACACUGAAAAGACUAAAAGGAAAUAUUGAAGGAGCUUCUGCUUUCCUUGAAUUUGUAACAGGUCAGUGUGGUUUCCUGAUCCUC